This is a long non-coding RNA of Monodelphis domestica (gray short-tailed opossum), 4108 nucleotides long. RefSeq lists it as uncharacterized. The record is from RefSeq and is a predicted model, not a curated record. NCBI's taxonomy places the organism in Eukaryota, Metazoa, Chordata, Mammalia, Didelphimorphia, Didelphidae.
AGUUGAAAAGGGACCUUACUAGCCCAAUCUCCUCUUUUCCAGAUGAGGCCUGGAGAAUGGCUUGCCUCUGGUCAUUGGGUCACACAGCUACUAAGUGAAUUUCAAAACUUCAAUGACUUCUACAAUCACAUUAUAAUUGAAAGUAAUUUUCACCCACAUUACUAACGUGAUUUCAUGACUUAAGAAGUCAAUGUGCUAUGGCAGAAAGAGCAUCAGAGAUCAAGAGACAUAAGGUCUGGAUUCUAGUAAGAUACUGCUUCCUUUGGCAUUUAAAAGCAUUAUUUUAAGAUACAAUGUGAAGACUUCAGCAGAUUGCCUAAGGAUCCAGGAUAUAGAAAAAGCAUAAAAACUCCUGAUAAUCAACUCUCUCAAUUUCGAGAAUGAAAAGGAAGCCCAAAUACCUGUACAAGGUUAUGAAGCUAGUUAUAUCCUCAAUAGUAGAGCUGGGAUUAAUAUGUUACUUACUAGCAGAGGCUAUUUUAAGUCUUGAAGCUGAGAAUCUCCAUGUACUUAGUUCUUAACUUGAUCAGUUAAUCCAUGCAUAGAUAAACUCUAUCUUAAUCCAGACAACAAUUCCAAAAAGGAAUUUAUUUCUUCUACCACCAUUUGCCUCUCUUCCCCCCACUACAUCCUUCAUCAGUGAAAAUGAUGGUAAUACCAAUCAUUUUCAUCAUUAUUUCAGCAUUCCCAACCAAAACCUCAUUCUCUCAUUCACUAGAUAUUUAUUGAGCAUGUCAGUACUUCCACAUAUCUAAAAUGAAAGAGAAUUGCAUAGAAUACUAAUACUAAAUAGUUUGAGAACUAUCCAAUGGCAAAGAGACCCCUGCUCAAAUUACCUAGAUCUGGCAGGCCCCUGAAAAAAGGCAUUUUUAAAUGACUCAAAAAAACAGCUCAAAUGUCUUCAAUCCCUAGUCUUUCUUGGUGUUUAAGAAGAAUCAAAUAAAUAGGUAGAGACCCUUCAUUAAUGUUUGGAAUAGACAAGUAAACCUGAUUUCUUUGGGGAAAACAAGUCGAUUCAGAAAAGAAAAUGACUCAGAAGAUCUUUUACACUAGACUUAUUAAGUAAAAUAUUCUGACCUCCUAGAGGGAAUCAGAUCUACAGUCAGCUGUAAAAUAGAAUUAGAUGUUUAGCAUCACAAUAGACCCUUCAGAAUCAUCUAAUCUAACCAAAUGAUUUUUACAUAGGAAGAAAUUAAGGCAAAGAAAGGAUGAUUAUGCUCCAGGUUACACAGAAUGAAUGGUAGCGCUAGAAUUUCAAUAGAGGUUUUACUACUCCAAAUUCAGUAUUCUUCCUACUAUAUUAUGCUGCCUGUCUAUGUGUGCUUGACUUUUGUAUUUGUCUUUUUGCCAAGUAGAAUAUUAUGGCUCUCUCAUAGAGGUGGGACAGGAUAAAGCCCUCGCUAAGCUUUUCUUUCUUUGAACCAUAUGUAUAUAUAUAUGUAUGUAUACAUAUAUAUAUAUUAGAUAACAUGAAAUUAGGAAAGUAUAACUAACAUGUUGGAAAAUUAACUCAAGAUCCCUAAAAGCUUUUUUUUUAUCAUGUUAGAAUAAUGGACUGAAUCUAAUAAAAUGAAAUUUAAUUGGGAUAAAUGUAAAAUCUGGCACUCAGGUUUAAUAAACUGGCUAAGUAAGGCUGGGGAGAAAUAUGUGAGAAAACAAAUGAACAAUCAACCUGGGAGUUUUAGUGGACCCUAAGCUCAACAUGAAUCAAAAUAUGCCUCCCAAGGCAAAGUUGAUAUUCUCUUUAACAAUAUAGAGGUCAACUUAUGGAUUCUUGCUUAUCUGCUUGUUUGUCUAUCCAUACAUUCACCACAGAGUAUCUCUAAAUAUGCCAGAAGCCUUUUAAAAAUUCUCUUGCUAUGUGACUAGCCAAUCAUGUAUUUAUCUUAGGAUGUCUUUUAUUCUCUUCCUUCUACGUAAUUCUUUAUUUCUAAUAAAUCAUAGCCUGCUCACUAUGCCCAGGUUCACCAUUCCCUCCAUCAUGGUGACUUCCAUUUUUGGUGAGUUUGUGUUUUAUGCCUGUGAAAAAAGAGCUCCAUUAGUCAUGUUGGAUGUGUCAGUUGUCAGAUAAUUUUAGGGUUGUGACUUUAAAUCUAGAUUUAAAUGUUCGCCAAAUAAAAUUCUCAAGUCAGUCUGGAAAUUUAUGGUAAUUUAAUUAAUACAGAGGGAAGGAAUUUAAGGAGAAGGAGGAAAGAGGAUAUAGGAUUUCUCUUACCUGGCCUAUGCCAGCGGGAGUUUUAACCUCCCCCCCUUACCCGCCUAAGUCUCUGAAGAAGAUUAGAGGCUUCUGAGAGGAAAAAGUUGGAAAGUAAAGGAGGAAGAUUCAGCUAGAAACUCACUACCGAACCGGACAAUAGUUUGUAGCCACACUAAGAUGCUGAAAGGCUCAGCAAGAAGCUCUCAGCUAAUUCUCCACCACUAAUCAGGGAAAGAGAGAGAGUGUCCUUGAGGGAUGAAAAAUCUCAAAUAUAUAGACCUUUCAUCCUUGUGUCUCCUCUAAAUUUUCACAUCUACCAAUCACAUUAAAGGCUUUUUCUCCAGGGCUGCCCAUACUUUUAGUUCUCAUCUUCUUUGAUUUGAUUAUAUCUUUAGAGUUAACACUUCUUAGUUCACCUUUUGUGAGUUACUUGACCUUUUUUGUGAUUAAUUUAACCUUUAUAGUUACUUAACACCUUUUUGUAUUAGAUCUAAAAAUAGACUUAGAUUAAAGUUCUAGCUUCACUCUAAGGUGAGAACUAAUUACCUCCAUUGUUCAAUCAGGAGAUUGCAACUUUAUCUUCCCCUAAAGCAAGGUCUAAGUAGGGUGUAGUAGUUUUCAAAGUUCACACAGUGUCCAAGUAUGCAGGACUUCCUUGGUCAAAAUUAGGUCCAGGUUAAAGAGGUUCUUAUGACCACUAAAUUGCCUUUUCUCUUCAAUAUCACUGGAAAGCCUUGGGGUAUUUCGCCAGGUCAGUGAGAAGCUCUGUCUGGGUGAGAAACUCAGGGAUGAAGUGUUAAUAGUGUGCCAUAAAAUUUAAUAGCCAUUGCAAGUAUUUUGUCAAUAUAGGAAUCUUUCACUACAAACUUAUUUUAUACAGACCAGAGAAUCCAGUAGUUGAAAGAGACAUUGGAGGCUGGUGUUGCCUCUGCAAUUUCCACCCAUUGCUGCUAGUUCUACUUUCUAAGGUCAAGUAGAACAAAUGUAUUGCAUCUUCCAUUUGACAGUCCUUCACAUACUUGAAGACAGCUAAUUAUACAGAUUUUUCCACCAGCCAAUUAUGUGCUACAGAUACUCCAUUGUCUCUUUUUCUAAUUGGCACUUUUCUAAUUUGGCAAAUACUUUUUGUUGCCUUAAGUGCUAAAGGAAAUUCAAUAUACUGGGAGAGGCCCCUGGAGUAUAUGACAUAAUCAUUGAAAUAGACUACUUCCUUCUUGGCAGGAUUUGAAAUACUGAGUUUAUAUUUCUGUGGAUUUUUUACAAAUUUCAUCACUAUGGGUGUACUUUCCUCUAUCAUGUAGAACCCAUCCAAUCAGCCUAGCAAAGAUUCAACCCCCCCCCCAAAAAAAAAGAAAAUGAAAAAUGUUAAAGGUGGUGUGGGGAAGCAGAUAUAUUGACAUACUAUUGAUGGACCUGUUAAUGGGUACAACCCCUCUACAAAGAUACUUCCUAGCUAUGUGAUGCUGGGCAAGUCACUUUACCUGUUUGCCUUAGUUUCAUCUGUAAAAUGGGAACAAUAAUAGCAUCUAUCUCAGGGAUGUUGUGAAGAUCAAAUGAAAUAAUUGUAUAGCACAAUGAUACAUAUAGAUACAUAGUAAUAACUGUAUAAAUAUUAGUUACUAUUAUUAUUAUUAUAAAGCAACUUGGAAUUAUACAUGAUAAAUUAUUCAAUAGUGCAAGCCCUUUGCCUCAGCUAUACUACUGCUAAGAUAAUACCCAAAAGAAAUCAAAGAAAGAGGAAAAGUGUAAUCUGGUCAAGUAAGGAAUGGCUGAAUAAAUUGAUGAAAUAGAUGAUUUAAAGACCUAUGAACUGAUAAAGAAUGAAGUAAUCAGAAGAAGAAUUUAUACUAUAACAUCAAUAUUAUAAAAAUAAACAAUGUUGAAGACUUUGCUGAGCCAGAACAAUUUAUA